ACAGUCAGAAGUCUACAGCUUGAACGCCUACAGCCCACACGCCUCCGGUCUUUUGUCUCAACUCUCCAUCAGGUAAGUAAAAACCCUGUGUUUAAUGAAGGUGCAGUGUUUAGGGCUGAUCUGAGGUCUGGUAAAAGGUUUGAGGCUGACGUGAGGUCUUUUGGUGAUGCUGUAGGCCUGUUAGAAAUUAUUUUCUGUAAGUAAUAAUUAUUUUGUAUUUCUUCCAGUCUACCAGAAGAAAAUACCUGCCAGUAACCUACAGUCAGAAGUCUACAGCUUGAACGCCUACAGCCCACACGCCUCCGGUCUUUUGUCUCAGCUCUCCAUCAGGCUCCGGAAGUCCUGACAUAACCAGCUAGCCAGAACCUUAAUACAGUACAAAAAUGGCAGCCAAGUGCAGCAGUCGUUCUUUUCAAACUGCGUGGACAAAUGACUUUGGUUUUGUUAAGAGAGGAGAUCGAGCCAUAUGUUCUCUAUGUUGUGAACAUGUUGUGUGCCGAACAUCGAGUGUGCGGCGUCACUUUGAAACAAAGCAUGAGAAAAAGUUCAAAGAUGAAGCAGACAGAGCAGAAAGUAUCAGGAGAGCUGUGGCAAAAUAUGAAAAGCAAAGUGUUUUGUUUAAAGGCCUAAGCAACACUAGAACUCUGGCUACACAAGCCAGCUUUAAACUUUCUGAAUGUAUUGCCAAACAUGGAAAACCAUUUACAGAUGGAGAGUACUUGAAAGAUACCUUCCUAAGCAGUGCAGACAUUUUAUUUGAUGGGUUACCAAACAAAGAGACAAUUAUUUCAAGAAUUAAAGAUUUGCCAGCUUCAGCAAGAACUGUAGAACGAAGGA
This is a long non-coding RNA of Bufo bufo (common toad), 837 nucleotides long. RefSeq lists it as uncharacterized. The transcript has 3 exons. The record is from RefSeq and is a predicted model, not a curated record. NCBI's taxonomy places the organism in Eukaryota, Metazoa, Chordata, Amphibia, Anura, Bufonidae.